Molecule: ribosomal RNA, 371 nt
Filed under: uncultured organism
Description: partial 16S ribosomal RNA
Rfam family: Bacterial small subunit ribosomal RNA
Source: RNAcentral
AGAGGGGUGCGAGCGUUAAUCGGAAUUACUGGGCGUAAAGGGCACGUAGGUGGGAUGAUUUAGUCAGAUGUGAAAGCCCCGGGCUUAACCUGGGAACUGCAUAUGAUACUGGUCAUCUAGAGUACAGGAGAGGGUGGUGGAAUUUCCGGUGUAGCGGUGAAAUGCGUAGAUAUCGGAAGGAACAUCGGUGGCGAAGGCGGCCGCCUGGCCUGAUACUGACACUGAGGUGCGAAAGCGUGGGGAGCGAACAGGAUUAGAUACCCUGGUAGUCCACGCUGUAAACGAUGAGUACUAGCCGUUGGGGACUUAGGUUCAAAGUGGCGAAGUUAACACGAUAAGUACUCCGCCUGGGGAGUACGGCCGCAAGGCUA